UGAAAUCAUGUAAACACAUCAUGUAUAUUCACGAUUUGCUUUCAUGGGCUUUCAUUACUGAUCAGUCCGCUGUUUGGAAAGCACAACAAAGUGCGAUAUGAUAAACAAUUUAAUACUAAAUUGUGGAAUUGAUAAUUGGAAGCAUUAAAUUUUAGUUGUAGAAGGUAAACUACCAAUGUCCCCAGAUUUUGAAACAUUGAAAGUGCGGUGUUACAGCAACCCAACAGGCAGCAUAAGAAUGACGUCACGAGGAACCGACAUGCAGAAAAAUAAUGGGUUCGAGUCCAAGGGUCUGAUUUUACUACUGAUAUGUGGGUUUUAUGCUGUUAUCCUGUUUAUAGUAGCACGUUUGUUGAGCUACGCAGCAUCUAAAAUAUUAUCACCAGUGAAGUCAGCUAUGUUCAGGGUUGAGGAAACUGAGAUGUUUGUUAAAGACCUGUCUGACCAAAACAACAACAGUAGUCCAGUGUUGAAAUUCAAACGAGAACAACAACAACGAACGCGGACAUUUUCGCAUGGUUGAAAAUAUCACUUGAAAUUCUCAUGGAUUAAAACUUCAUUCUCCAAUGAUUGGACAAGAACUUAAGCUUAAAUUUGCUUAGUUUCAUCCAUUAAACCCUAAGGGAAAAUGUGGAAAUAAUCAUAAGUAUGUUUUUAACACAAUGGAAAAAUGAACACAAAGGUCCAAUUCUUGUGUUUUAAAAGCGGCUGGUCCAGUCUUGCUACUGUAACUGGUAAUUCGUUAAAAUGAAUAGGUCGUUUAACAGAAAACCGAAAAUUGGUAUUGCGCAGGAUAAAACUGUCCAAAAACUAAAAUACCAACCAGUUACGUAUAAUGCCAGCAAUAUAGUGCAUUUUUUAUGUAUCCGGUUUUGAAACAGAUUGCAUUAUUAUUCAACACGUGAAUAAUCACACCAUGUACCAGAUAUGGCAAGAUAAUAUAAACUUGACAUUGAACUUUGACGCUAGCCAUGAACCAGAUAAAACUGGAUAAUGUUUACACGUUGGAAAUUGUACUUUGAUAAGCACCUGUAUUUAUGUUUAUCUUAUAUGUCUGCUCAUAGGUACAAGGACUAACUGAUAAGCUGUCAAGGACAACUUUUUUGUCUGCUAUGUACUUAAACAUAAAUUUGUGGGUCGCGAUAAGAAGCGCCUUCUAGCGGUGCGACCUGAAUGCAUUUGAAUGUUUGAGUUCUUAAUUUCAAAUGUAGCUAAACGCUUCUAGAUAUUUUUGUUUCAUAUCAGAAACUUACCAUUUUGUAUUAAACAAAGAAUACUCAAACAAAAUAAAACAAUAGUGAACGACUUUUAAUGCUAUACUUUUAUAGUUUAGAUAAACAUAAAUGCAACUUUUUUAGAUAGUUUGUUAUUUUUAUGCCAAAGAAAUUAAUAUUGAAAUAAAAGUGAGUUUAGAUAAAUUGUAUAAAAACAAUUUAAUUAGUAUAGAUAAAUUGUAUAAAAAUAAACAAUGUAAAAUAAUGCAAGAUGUUGAUUCUCACAUUUGAUUGAAUGAGAAUAUAUGUUGCUUUUUUAUUUGUACAUUUGUGUUUAAAAAUGGCAUUUUUAUUUUGUUUUUACUAUGUAUGUACAUUUUGUAUUUUUGAAAAUUGAUUAUCAAAAUGUUUAUGAUAACACGGAUUUAUAUUAUAUGUAAUAUAAAUCCGUGAUGAUAAUAUGCAAGAAAAGUUAGAAAAAAAAAACAGAAAGAAGAAAAAAAUAAAAUCAAAGAACCAAUGCUUGUUUUUAUUUCAUUAUUUUUAUUAUAAGAAAAUUUAUAAUCGAUAAUGAUAAUUCUGUCAAUUGAUAUGAACAAGCACCUUUUUAAAUGUUGUAUCGAACAUUACGAAAUUUGCGUCAGCAAGUCGUAAUAUAUUGUCUUUCUGCGCAUGUGCGGACCAAGGACAGUUCAGACGUCUCGAAUUAAAUGAAAGCAAUUAAUGAAGAAUUUCAUCUCCAAAUCCCUCCCGAGGCGUGCACGUCGCGGAGAAGGCACACGGCAGGUCAAGGUCAAGUCGUCUCAAGUACCAGAGACGAUUGGUUGACCUGUCGUGACUAACUCGGGAGGGUGGCGCUAACAAGAGCCGUUUUAUGUUAACCGCCUGUUUGCUGCCGUCACGGAACAUGAUGCUUUGCCAGUAUUGUAUUUUCCUCCAACGAACGAAGAACAGGAUAAGAAAGAUCGGCUUGAAAAAACACGUCCCCGAUGAGACUUCUAGAGUAGACCGGCAUGGACGCUAAGAUCUCGGACAUAUGUAAUUUCCGGCGCCGAACUAAAAUAAAACUAAAACACACACAAAAUGUUUUGAAGAAUGUAGGACCAACCAGAUUAAUGCAGGCAAAUGACUAAACUCAAGCAAAAUCACAAACCCUUUCUUAAAAAAAAACAA
Ruditapes philippinarum (Manila clam) is the source of this 2387-nucleotide RNA transcript. RefSeq lists it as uncharacterized. The transcript has 3 exons. Lineage: Eukaryota; Metazoa; Mollusca; Bivalvia; Venerida; Veneridae. The record is from RefSeq and is a predicted model, not a curated record.